CACAAUGAUAGGAAGAGCCGA
Molecule: non-coding RNA, 21 nt
Filed under: Arabidopsis thaliana (thale cress)
Lineage: Eukaryota; Viridiplantae; Streptophyta; Magnoliopsida; Brassicales; Brassicaceae
Also listed under: 1 other name
Source: RNAcentral